This 434-nucleotide ribosomal RNA is filed under the name uncultured bacterium. Its description in RNAcentral is "partial 16S ribosomal RNA". It matches the Rfam family "Bacterial small subunit ribosomal RNA", at positions 29 to 507 of the family's 1533-position model. The record is from RNAcentral.
AGCGAACGCUGGCGGCAGGCCUAACACAUGCAAGUCGAACGAACCUUUCGGGGUUAGUGGCGGACGGGUGAGUAACACGUGGGAACGUGCCUUUAGGUUCGGAAUAACUCAGGGAAACUUGUGCUAAUACCGAAUGUGCCCUUCGGGGGAAAGAUUAAUCGCCUUUAGAGCGGCCCGCGUCUGAUUAGCUAGUUGGUUGAGGUAAUGGCUCACCAAGGCGACGAUCAGUAGCUGGUCUGAGAGGAUGAUCAGCCACAUUGGGACUGAGACACGGCCCAUACUCCUACGGGAGGCAGCAGUGGGGAAUCUUGCGCAAUGGGCGAAAGCCUGACGCAGCCAUGCCGCGUGAAUGAUGAAGGUCUUAGGAUUGUAAAAUUCUUUCACCGGGGACGAUAAUGACGGUACCCGGAGAAGAAGCCCCGGCUAACUUCGUG